CUACGGGGUGCUGCAGUGGGGAAUUUUGGACAAUGGGGGCAACCCUGAUCCAGCCAUGCCGCGUGAGUGAAGAAGGCCUUCGGGUUGUAAAGCUCUUUCAGCCGGGAAGAAAUCGCAUGGGUUAAUACCCUGUGCGGAUGACGGUACCGGAAUAAGAAGCACCGGCUAACUACGUGCCAGCAGCCGCGGUAAUACGUAGGGUGCGAGCGUUAAUCGGAAUUACUGGGCGUAAAGCGUGCGCAGGCGGAUGCUUAAGUCAGAUGUGAAAUCCCCGGGCUUAACCUGGGAAUUGCAUUUGAAACUGGGUGUCUAGAGUGCGUCAGAGGGGGGUGGAAUUCCACGUGUAGCAGUGAAAUGCGUAGAUAUGUGGAGGAACACCAAUGGCGAAGGCAGCCCCCUGGGAUGACACUGACGCUCAUGCACGAAAGCGUGGGGAGCAAACAGGAUUAGAUACCCGAGUAGUC
RNAcentral lists this ribosomal RNA (464 nucleotides) under uncultured bacterium. Its description in RNAcentral is "partial 16S ribosomal RNA". It matches the Rfam family "Bacterial small subunit ribosomal RNA", at positions 339 to 795 of the family's 1533-position model. The record is from RNAcentral.